This 429-nucleotide ribosomal RNA is filed under the name Acidobacteriota bacterium. Its description in RNAcentral is "Acidobacteria bacterium partial 16S ribosomal RNA". It matches the Rfam family "Bacterial small subunit ribosomal RNA", at positions 355 to 776 of the family's 1533-position model. The record is from RNAcentral. Lineage: Bacteria; Pseudomonadati; Acidobacteriota.
UGGGGAAUUUUGGACAAUGGGGGAAACCCUGAUCCAGCCAUCCCGCGUGUGCGAUGAAGGCCUUCGGGUUGUAAAGCACUUUUGGCAGGAAAGAAACGUCAUGGGUUAAUACCCCGUGAAACUGACGGUACCGGCAGAAUAAGCACCGGCUAACUACGUGCCAGCAGCCGCGGUAAUACGUAGGGUGCAAGCGUUAAUCGGAAUUACUGGGCGUAAAGCGUGCGCAGGCGGUUCGGAAAGAAAGAUGUGAAAUCCCAGAGCUCAACUUUGGAACUGCAUUUUUAACUACCGGGCUAGAGUGUGUCAGAGGGAGGUGGAAUUCCGCGUGUAGCAGUGAAAUGCGUAGAUAUGCGGAGGAACACCGAUGGCGAAGGCAGCCUCCUGGGAUAACACUGACGCUCAUGCACGAAAGCGUGGGGAGCAAACAGG